Molecule: ribosomal RNA, 393 nt
Filed under: uncultured bacterium
Lineage: Bacteria
Description: bacterial SSU rRNA
Rfam family: Bacterial small subunit ribosomal RNA
Source: RNAcentral
AGCGAACGCUGGCGGCAGGCUUAACACAUGCAAGUCGAACGGGCGUAGCAAUACGUCAGUGGCAGACGGGUGAGUAACGCGUGGGAACGUACCUUUUGGUUCGGAACAACCCAGGGAAACUUGGGCUAAUACCGGAUAAGCCCUUACGGGGAAAGAUUUAUCGCCGAAAGAUCGGCCCGCGUCUGAUUAGCUAGUUGGUGAGGUAACGGCUCACCAAGGCGACGAUCAGUAGCUGGUCUGAGAGGAUGAUCAGCCACAUUGGGACUGAGACACGGCCCAAACUCCUACGGGAGGCAGCAGUGGGGAAUAUUGGACAAUGGGCGCAAGCCUGAUCCAGCCAUGCCGCGUGAGUGAUGAAGGCCCUAGGGUUGUAAAGCUCUUUUGUGCGGGAAG